RNAcentral lists this ribosomal RNA (458 nucleotides) under uncultured bacterium. Its description in RNAcentral is "partial 16S ribosomal RNA". It matches the Rfam family "Bacterial small subunit ribosomal RNA", at positions 338 to 795 of the family's 1533-position model. The record is from RNAcentral.
CCUACGGGAGGCAGCAGUGAGGAAUAUUGGUCAAUGGGCGAGAGCCUGAACCAGCCAAGUCGCGUGAGGGAGUACUGCCCUAUGGGUUGUAAACCUCUUUUGUCGGGGGGCAAAAGCCGGACGUGUCCGGCUGUGAGAGUACCCGAAGAAAAAGCAUCGGCUAACUCCGUGCCAGCAGCCGCGGUAAUACGGAGGAUGCGAGCGUUAUCCGGAUUUAUUGGGUUUAAAGGGUGCGCAGGCGGAUUUUUAAGUCAGCGGUAAAAUCGUGGGGUUCAACCCCAUCCAGCCGUUGAAACUGGGGAUCUAGAGUGUGCGAGAGGUAUGCGGAAUGCGGGGUGUAGCGGUGAAAUGCAUAGAUAUCACGCAGAACCCCGAUUGCGAAGGCAGCAUACCGGUGCACAACUGACGCUCAGGCACGAAAGCGUGGGUAUCGAACAGGAUUAGAUACCCGGGUAGUC